This 466-nucleotide ribosomal RNA is filed under the name Blastomyces percursus. Its description in RNAcentral is "partial large subunit ribosomal RNA". It matches the Rfam family "Eukaryotic large subunit ribosomal RNA", at positions 278 to 763 of the family's 3401-position model. Lineage: Eukaryota; Fungi; Ascomycota; Eurotiomycetes; Onygenales; Ajellomycetaceae. The record is from RNAcentral.
GAAUGCAGCUCUAAAUGGGUGGUAAAUUUCAUCUAAAGCUAAAUAUUGGUCGGAGACCGAUAGCGCACAAGUAGAGUGAUCGAAAGAUGAAAAGCACUUUGAAAAGAGAGUUAAACAGCAUGUGAAAUUGUUGAAAGGGAAGCGUUUGCGACCAGAGUCGGCCGCGGGGGUUCAGCGGGCAUUCGUUGCCCGUGCACUCCCCCGAGGGCGGGCCAGCGUCGGUUUCGACGGCCGGUCAAAGGCCCCCGGAAUGUGUCGCCUCUCGGGGCGUCUUAUAGCCGGGGGUGCAAUGCGGCCAGUCGGGACCGAGGAACGCGCUUCGGCACGGACGCUGGCUUAAUGGUCGUAAGCGACCCGUCUUGAAACACGGACCAAGGAGUCUAACAUCCACGCGAGUGUUCGGGUGUCAAACCCGUCCGCGCAGUGAAAGCGAACGGAGGUGGGAACCCUUAAGGGUGCACCAUCG